Molecule: ribosomal RNA, 292 nt
Filed under: uncultured bacterium
Lineage: Bacteria
Description: partial 16S ribosomal RNA
Rfam family: Bacterial small subunit ribosomal RNA
Source: RNAcentral
GUGCCAGCCGCCGCGGUAAUACGGAGGGUCCAAGCGUUAUCCGGAUUCACUGGGUUUAAAGGGUGCGCAGGCGGCCGGGUAAGUCAGUGGUGAAAGCCUUCGGCUCAACCGGAGAAUUGCCAUUGAAACUACCCGGCUUGAGUGCAGUGGAGGUGGGCGGAAUGUAGCAUGUAGCGGUGAAAUGCAUAGAUAUGCUACAGAACACCGAUAGCGAAAGCAGCUCACCAUACUGCAACUGACGCUGAGGCACGAAAGCAUGGGUAGCAAACAGGAUUAGAUACCCGGGUAGUCC